Molecule: ribosomal RNA, 253 nt
Filed under: uncultured bacterium
Lineage: Bacteria
Description: partial 16S ribosomal RNA
Rfam family: Bacterial small subunit ribosomal RNA
Source: RNAcentral
GACGAACCGAGCGAACGUUGUUCGGAAUCACUGGGCUUAGAGGGCGCGUAGGCGGGUGCUCAAGUCUGUGGUGAGAUCCUCCGGCUCAACCGGAGAACUGCCAUGGAUACUGGGUGCCUCGAGGGUGGUAGGGGUAUGCGGAACUAUCGGUGGAGCGGUGAAAUGCGUUGAUAUCGAUAGGAACUCCGGUGGCGAAGGCGGCAUACUGGACCACUUCUGACGCUGAGGCGCGAAAGCCAGGGGAGCGAACGGG